ACAGGUCUGCUCUGGGCUACCUACCAAGCUUAACAAGCUUCUCUUUGGUCUCUCCAGAAUAAAAGAGAAGGAAAAUAAGAAAGGGUGCAGCUUCUCAUGGCACACCAGCCAAUCCAGCAGCCUGCUGAGCCAACAGAAAACUAAUCCACAAUGAAAAGGCAAAGUGCUGUCGUCAUAGCCAGACCUGCCAGCAGUACCUUUGGAGCCCUUUGGAGCUGCAGAAACAGACUACAAGACAAAAACCACACAAACACCAAAUUGCUACUCAUGGAAACUGAACAAUAAAAAUAAAUGAACCAA
Long non-coding RNA from Vidua macroura (Pin-tailed whydah), 300 nucleotides. RefSeq lists it as uncharacterized. Lineage: Eukaryota; Metazoa; Chordata; Aves; Passeriformes; Viduidae. The transcript has 2 exons. The record is from RefSeq and is a predicted model, not a curated record.